GAUAAGGUUAAGUGAAUAAGGGCGCACGGUGGAUGCCUUGGCACUAGGAGCCGAUGAAGGACGGGACUAACACCGAUAUGCUUUGGGGAGCUGUAAGUAAGCUAUGAUCCAGAGAUUUCCGAAUGGGGGAACCCAAUAUCUUUUAUAGGAUAUUACUUUUCAGUGAAUACAUAGCUGAUUAGAGGUAGACGCAGAGAACUGAAACAUCUUAGUAUCUGCAGG
RNAcentral lists this ribosomal RNA (222 nucleotides) under Proteus mirabilis. Its description in RNAcentral is "partial 23S ribosomal RNA". It matches the Rfam family "Bacterial large subunit ribosomal RNA", at positions 1 to 216 of the family's 2925-position model. The record is from RNAcentral. Lineage: Bacteria; Pseudomonadati; Pseudomonadota; Gammaproteobacteria; Enterobacterales; Morganellaceae.